AGGGCGCACGGUGGAUGCCUUGACACUAGGAGUCGAUGAAGGACGGGACUAACGCCGAUAUGCUUCGGGGAGCUGUAAGUAAGCUUUGAUCCGAAGAUUUCCGAAUGGGGAAACCCACCAUACGUAAUGGUAUGGUAUCCUUAUCUGAAUACAUAGGGUAAGGAAGACAGACCCAGGGAACUGAAACAUCUAAGUACCUGGAGGAAGAGAAAGCAAAUGCGAUUUCCUGAGUAGCGGCGAGCGAAACGGAACAUAGCCCAAACCAAGAGGCUUGCCUCUUGGGGUUGUAGGACAUUCUAUACGGAGUUACAAAGGAACGAGGUAGACGAAGCGACCUGGAAAGGUCCGUCGUAGAGGGUAACAACCCCGUAGUCGAAACUUCGUUCUCUCUUGAAUGUAUCCUGAGUACGGCGGAACACGUGAAAUUCCGUCGGAAUCUGGGAGGACCAUCUCCCAAGGCUAAAUACUCCCUAGUGAUCGAUAGUGAACCAGUACCGUGAGGGAAAGGUGAAAAGCACCCCGGAAGGGGAGUGAAAGAGAUCCUGAAACCGUGUGCCUACAAAUAGUCAGAGCCCGUUAACGGGUGAUGGCGUGCCUUUUGUAGAAUGAACCGGCGAGUUACGAUCCCGUGCGAGGUUAAGCUGAAGAGGCGGAGCCGCAGCGAAAGCGAGUCUGAAUAGGGCGUUUAGUACGUGGUCGUAGACCCGAAACCAGGUGAUCUACCCAUGUCCAGGGUGAAGUUCAGGUAACACUGAAUGGAGGCCCGAACCCACGCACGUUGAAAAGUGCGGGGAUGAGGUGUGGGUAGCGGAGAAAUUCCAAUCGAACCUGGAGAUAGCUGGUUCUCCCCGAAAUAGCUUUAGGGCUAGCCUUAAGUGUAAGAGUCUUGGAGGUAGAGCACUGAUUGGACUAGGGGUCCUCAUCGGAUUACCGAAUUCAGUCAAACUCCGAAUGCCAAUGACUUAUCCUUAGGAGUCAGACUGCGAGUGAUAAGAUCCGUAGUCAAAAGGGAAACAGCCCAGACCGCCAGCUAAGGUCCCAAAGUGUGUAUUAAGUGGAAAAGGAUGUGGAGUUGCUUAGACAACUAGGAUGUUGGCUUAGAAGCAGCCACCAUUUAAAGAGUGCGUAAUAGCUCACUAGUCGAGUGACUCUGCGCCGAAAAUGUACCGGGGCUAAAUACACCACCGAAGCUGCGGAUUGAUACCAAUGGUAUCAGUGGUAGGGGAGCGUUCUAAGGACAGUGAAGUCAGACCGGAAGGACUGGUGGAGUGCUUAGAAGUGAGAAUGCCGGUAUGAGUAGCGAAAGACGGGUGAGAAUCCCGUCCACCGAAUGCCUAAGGUUUCCUGAGGAAGGCUCGUCCGCUCAGGGUUAGUCAGGACCUAAGCCGAGGCCGACAGGCGUAGGCGAUGGACAACAGGUUGAUAUUCCUGUACCACCUCUUUAUCGUUUGAGCAAUGGAGGGACGCAGAAGGAUAGAAGAAGCGUGCGAUUGGUUGUGCACGUCCAAGCAGUUAGGCUGAUAAGUAGGCAAAUCCGCUUAUCGUAAAGGCUGAGCUGUGAUGGGGAAGCUCCUUAUGGAGCGAAGUCUUUGAUUCCCCGCUGCCAAGAAAAGCUUCUAGCGAGAUAAAAGGUGCCUGUACCGCAAACCGACACAGGUAGGCGAGGAGAGAAUCCUAAGGUGUGCGAGAGAACUCUGGUUAAGGAACUCGGCAAAAUGACCCCGUAACUUCGGGAGAAGGGGUGCUUUCUUAACGGAAAGCCGCAGUGAAUAGGCCCAAGCGACUGUUUAGCAAAAACACAGGUCUCUGCGAAGCCGUAAGGCGAAGUAUAGGGGCUGACACCUGCCCGGUGCUGGAAGGUUAAGGAGAGGGGUUAGCGCAAGCGAAGCUCUGAACUGAAGCCCCAGUAAACGGCGGCCGUAACUAUAACGGUCCUAAGGUAGCGAAAUUCCUUGUCGGGUAAGUUCCGACCCGCACGAAAGGUGUAACGAUUUGGGCACUGUCUCAACCAGAGACUCGGUGAAAUUAUAGUACCUGUGAAGAUGCAGGUUACCCGCGACAGGACGGAAAGACCCCGUGGAGCUUUACUGUAGCCUGAUAUUGAAUUUUGGUACAGUUUGUACAGGAUAGGCGGGAGCCUUUGAAACCGGAGCGCUAGCUUCGGUGGAGGCGCUGGUGGGAUACCGCCCUGACUGUAUUGAAAUUCUAACCUACGGGUCUUAUCGACCCGGGAGACAGUGUCAGGUGGGCAGUUUGACUGGGGCGGUCGCCUCCUAAAAUGUAACGGAGGCGCCCAAAGGUUCCCUCAGAAUGGUUGGAAAUCAUUCGUAGAGUGCAAAGGCAUAAGGGAGCUUGACUGCGAGACCUACAAGUCGAGCAGGGACGAAAGUCGGGCUUAGUGAUCCGGUGGUUCCGCAUGGAAGGGCCAUCGCUCAACGGAUAAAAGCUACCCCGGGGAUAACAGGCUUAUCUCCCCCAAGAGUCCACAUCGACGGGGAGGUUUGGCACCUCGAUGUCGGCUCAUCGCAUCCUGGGGCUGUAGUCGGUCCCAAGGGUUGGGCUGUUCGCCCAUUAAAGCGGUACGCGAGCUGGGUUCAGAACGUCGUGAGACAGUUCGGUCCCUAUCCGUCGUGGGCGUAGGAAAUUUGAGAGGAGCUGUCCUUAGUACGAGAGGACCGGGAUGGACGCACCGCUGGUGUACCAGUUGUUCUGCCAAGGGCAUAGCUGGGUAGCUAUGUGCGGAAGGGAUAAGUGCUGAAAGCAUCUAAGCAUGAAGCCCCCCUCAAGAUGAGAUUUCCCAUAGCGUAAGCUAGU
Molecule: ribosomal RNA, 2814 nt
Filed under: Serratia marcescens
Lineage: Bacteria; Pseudomonadati; Pseudomonadota; Gammaproteobacteria; Enterobacterales; Yersiniaceae
Description: bacterial LSU rRNA
Rfam family: Bacterial large subunit ribosomal RNA
Source: RNAcentral